Oncorhynchus mykiss (rainbow trout) is the source of this 2800-nucleotide non-coding RNA. Lineage: Eukaryota; Metazoa; Chordata; Actinopteri; Salmoniformes; Salmonidae. The record is from RefSeq and is a predicted model, not a curated record.
CAGUGUUUCAUCAUCAGUCAUCUGACACUAAGUGACAGGCUGCGGUUGUUAGCUAGCAGUCCAGCUAAGUCCAAUUUGUGCAUUAUGAUGUAGUCCUUUUUAGGUUUUUGUUUUCCAGUAGAAUAUUAUAAUAGAAACCCCUACUAUAUGUGAAGUGCACUGGUGAUGAACAUAGUAAUUGUAGCUAAUUCUACGUAAACAACAAUAGGGAGAAGAGCGCUCGGCGGAAAUGGAGUCCCUAGAGAAAGCUAGAACAAGAUGGGUGUCAGGAGUGGGGCAGCAGGAGGAGACCUAUACUUGGAAAACGGAGGAGGAAUGGAGGGAAAAAGAUAGGGCUUGUGUCGGAUAAAAAUUGUGGGAAAGGGGAGAUGGUUUGUUAAAUAAGAAUGGUAGAAAGUGUAAGCAGGGGGAGCUGAAGACAGGAGGAGAAAUGGAAGUGAAUAAGUGUGAAGUAUCCUAUGUAGUAGGUUCGGUGAAGUUAUUGUAUACCGAGGUAUGCACCGAGGAUCAGGAUGAAGAAGAGUCUGGCAGUAGGAGUGAAGUUUAUGGAAAAAAGCGUACUCUUCCCUUUUUGCUGAUCCAUUUGUGGUUUCACGGUGGGUGAAAAAAAUUGUUGGGUGAUGGUAACUAGAAAUAGUCUAGUGAUAACUGUUUGUGUUUUUGUGAGGCAGAGGGAGAAUACGCUUGGAGUAAAACUAAUGAGGGCAAGAAAAGUGAAUUGUUUCGUUCUCAAGAAAAGGGCACAAAUGAAAGGAGUGAUAACAGGGGUAGCAGUAAAUAUAAAAGUUGACCAGCUGAGGGGAAAGAUUCCCGGUGUAUGUGAUGAUCGUCGUUUGAUGCGACGCAAACAGGGUGGGGAAACGGAAGUCAUUGUCUGUUCUUUUGAAGUUGAGUCUUUGCCCGAUAAAGUUUGGAUAUAUAAGUAAUCCUGUACGAGCGAUGUGCCGACUACAUUACGACGCUACAGGUGUCAAGUUUAUGGGUAUGUGGCAGCAGCGUGUAGGAGGGAGGGUCCAAGGUGUGAGAAAUGUGCAGAAGGGCAUGAGACAAAGGAAUGUGUAGUAUGGGGGAAAGUAGUUGUGUUAAUUGUUGGUGUGCCUAUGGAGCUGGGGAUCAUAAAUGUCCCUUGCGAGAGAGGCAGGUUGAGGUUUCCAGGGUUAGAGUAGUGCAUUAGUUGUCACAUUGUACUGAAGGGAUGGAUCGGAAGUCUCGGGAAAAUUGAGGUUGUGGUGGCAGCUGCAGAGAGGUAUUUGGGUGUGCUAGACUUGACAUCAGAAGAGUUACAGGGUGUGUUAAGUGGUGACGUCCCAUCCUUUCAGGGUGAUGGCAUGAGGUAGGAGUAAAUACAUUUAAUUAGUGGAGUAGGGUGGUGUUCAUUUAAUUUUAUAUCAUUUUGAAAUUAGUGAGUGUAGUGUUAGAUGGUAGGGUAUUUAUUUAGUACAUUUGUAUUUUUCAAGUGUAUAAUGGAGUUGUACUCCAGUCUAGUAGAUGGCGGUAAUGAAACAAAUUGGAUGUCAACCGCUGUUAAACCUCAGAAGAAAUAAACAACAAUAUGUCUGGACCAAAUGGAGAUCCUAACAUCUCAACUGACGAUGACAUCAUCGACAAUGAAGAUGAAUUCAGAGUAUGUAGCCAUUAACACUGCUGGAUCAGAUCAACUCCUGCCUGGAGGACCUGGAGGAACGCAACGACUCACUGAAUGACCAACUACAUGAACUGUUGGAAUCUAACUGGCAGGCCUGGCAGGAUUUCAGAGUUCAACUGAGCACUGCUACACCCUCAGGAGAGGAUCAACAGUCCCUGGACAAAGAUUCUCCGGCCUCUGAAGGGGAGAAGGGCGAAGAGGAUAAAGCUGGACUACUCAAUGUUACACAAAACAACAUUCCACCUACCAAUAUGAGCAUCUUUCCUUUUCUCAAGUGUUCAUGUGAUAGGAUUUUCUCUGUCCCUUUCAUGUAGCACUUAUGAACCCUCCACUAAACUAUACAAUUUUAAUCGAUACACAGCUGUUGAACUUGUAAGAUGGUUCCUGCUUAGUUAAGUAAAAGAGCCAAAAGCUGAGUACAUUCUCUGUGUUGAAGUGACUAGUUUAUGCCACCAUCACCACUUACAAUGUAUACCAAUGUUUCAGUUUAGCUAUCCGUAUAGUCAAUUGCCCCCAUGAUUAGUACUUAUUUAUCCAUGUGCUUGGUGUGGGGUGUAAAGCAUGCAGAAUACGCUGUGAUUCAUGUCAUAACUGGGGUGUAUUCAUUUUGCCGAAUUGGUUUCUGUUCCAAAACGUUUUGCAACGAAAACAAGUUUCUAUUGCACAAAUUCAGGUAGGUCCCUCCGUUUCAUUUGCUAUGUUUGGCUCUAAGAUGGUAAACAGUUUCUGUUGUAAAAUGUAAUGAACACACUGGUGGUAGGUAAGCAGCUAAGUUAAUCUCUAUGGGGUAAUACUACAAAUCAUAUGUGAGCUUUGAUUGGUCAAUAUUUUUCUGUGACACGCAAGAAGAGAUUAAUGUGUUUGUGUUCCACUUCUUUCCAAUUCAGUUUUUCCUUGUCAGAUUUAAUAACAGUAUAUUGAAUGUGUUACUGUUAAUUAUCUGAGUGUGACAUCUUGAAUCACUAGCGUCAAGAACUAGCUCUUUAAAACAAUGCGAUAUUCAAUAAUCACAGUGAGGCAAUUGUCAAAUUUUAUUAUAAAUUAAAAUGACCCCAAUACAGAAAACAUCCCAAAAAUACAUGAAACUUCCAGCUGCUAGAAAACACUUGUUCAUCGGUUUGUCAUUUGUAGAAUAAAAAUACAUUAAGAAACAUA